This is a non-coding RNA of Odocoileus virginianus texanus, 697 nucleotides long. The record is from RefSeq and is a predicted model, not a curated record. NCBI's taxonomy places the organism in Eukaryota, Metazoa, Chordata, Mammalia, Artiodactyla, Cervidae.
AGAUGUGGCCUCAAAGUCCGCAGGGUUCUUAGUGUGGGCUUUCAGAGCCCUGCCUACAGGUUUGUCUUUCCUUCAUGUUCCCCAGUGGGCAGAACCUCUGGUGUCUUCAGCCUCCUGUCUGCCUCAGGCUUCGCAAGAAGCUUUUUAUACAAAACACUUACCAAACAUCUGCCAGAUGUCAGACCCUGUGCCAGGCACUUGAAACUGUGGAAACUAGAGUGGAGUCCCCGCCUGGUGGAGCUGACAUUUGAAAGGGGCAAGGCAUCAGAUAAUGACAAUGUCGAUAAAAGCGGUACGGGCUACGGAGAAUGUUCCCUGGGAGCAGAGCCUGAGGCAAGGAUUUGGAUCCAUGUGACUUACAGAGAGGAGGGCACUCGGGAGAAACCUACUCGAGAGUCGGGGAGGCAGAAUGGAGAAGAGGGGAAAAGCUAAUAAACAAGGGCGGGGACCUCAGCUGGCGUCUGGCUUCCGCCUGGUCCUUCCGGGAUCUCCGACAGCUCCCCCAGUACAGACUCCGAAUCCUUCUGAGACCGUGAAGCCCUUGUUUGCAGGUAUUUGGAAAUUGUAAAGAGAAAGCAGAAUCGCCUUCAUUAAAAAUUCCACGUGGAAGCCAGUUGGGUGUAGAAGAUGCACACAUCCGAUGGACUGAACAUCUUUAUCUCGGUUGCUGCCUACCCUAAAUUAAAAGCACCUGAGG